CUACGGGAGGCAGCAGUGGGGAAUUUUGCGCAAUGGGCGAAAGCCUGACGCAGCAACGCCGCGUGCGGGAAGAAGGCCCUCGGGUUGUAAACCGCUUUCGGCAGGAACGAAAUUGACGGUACCUGCAGAAGAAGCCCCGGCCAACUACGUGCCAGCAGCCGCGGUAAUACGUAGGGGGCGAGCGUUGUCCGGAUUCAUUGGGCGUAAAGAGCUCGUAGGCGGUUCGGUAAGUCAGAUGUGAAAACUCCAGGCUCAACUUGGAGACGCCAUCUGAUACUGUCGUGACUAGAGUCCGGUAGGGGAGCACGGAAUUCCUGGUGUAGCGGUGAAAUGCGCAGAUAUCAGGAGGAACACCAGCGGCGAAGGCGGUGCUCUGGGCCGGAACUGACGCUGAGGAGCGAAAGCGUGGGUAGCGAACAGGAUUAGAUACCCGGGUAGUCC
RNAcentral lists this ribosomal RNA (441 nucleotides) under uncultured bacterium. RNAcentral describes it as "bacterial SSU rRNA". It matches the Rfam family "Bacterial small subunit ribosomal RNA", at positions 339 to 796 of the family's 1533-position model. The record is from RNAcentral.